Magnolia sinica is the source of this 779-nucleotide long non-coding RNA. RefSeq lists it as uncharacterized. NCBI's taxonomy places the organism in Eukaryota, Viridiplantae, Streptophyta, Magnoliopsida, Magnoliales, Magnoliaceae. The transcript has 3 exons. The record is from RefSeq and is a predicted model, not a curated record.
AACAAAUUAGGGCUUAGCCAACUGAUGGGCUUACCCUUUGCCCACAGCACGUUUUAACGGCUGCGGGCAAAGGGUCCCUUUUUAUUAAAAAAAAAACAUAAGGGCCUAUCCAUUUGCGUCGUAUCUCCCUCUCUCUCUCUCGCGCGCCCAUCUCCCAUAACCCAAAAGCCUCUCCCUUUCCCUCACCCUCUCUCGAUCUCCCACUCUCCCUCACCCUCUCUCUCUCUCUCUCUCUCUCUCUCUCUCUCUCUCUCUCUCGCACUCAGCCUCUCCCUUUCCCAUUAGUUUGCUUCCAUGACAUUUGUCCUUCAUGUUUAUCUUCUUUCCUUUUUUUCUUCUUGCAACACCUGGCAGCAACGAUAAAGGUAAAAGCUCUGUAAUUUUUCUCCGACCCGCUCCCUCAAUUCUGUCAGAAAACCCUGCUACCAAUUUUCCAUCUCUAUCUCUCUCUCAGUUUAAAUGCUGGAGGAGAGAGCUCUCCUUUGGAUUCACUGAUCUCAACGAGCUCACGUUUUCAAAGGCGGACUCGUUUGGUUAUCGCGUUCACAUCAGAUCUAGGGUUUCUUUUACUUUCUCGCUUCCUGUUUUAUUGAUUUAAGCUAUGGCUGCAGCAGAAGAAUGGGAACUGUAGGAGCACAUCAUUCAAGCUAUGGCUGAAGUCUUGCAAUUCUCUGAAAUAGUAGGCAAGGGGUGCUAUAUUAGCACUCCCUUCAUCAGUUCCUGUAACCUAAAAGCUCUACAGGGCCUGCUGCCAAUUUUUAUUUAUUUUUUGGUUUUAG